UACGUAGGGUGCGAGCGUUGUCCGGAAUUAUUGGGCGUAAAGAGCUCGUAGGCGGUUUGUUGCGUCGGCCGUGAAAACCUGCAGCUUAACUGUGGGCCUGCGGUCGAUACGGGCAGACUUGAGUUCGGUAGGGGAGACUGGAAUUCCUGGUGUGGCGGUGAAAUGCGCAGAUAUCAGGAGGAACACCGGUGGCGAAGGCGGGUCUCUGGGCCGAUACUGACGCUGAGGUGCGAAAGCGUGGGGAGCAAACAGG
RNAcentral lists this ribosomal RNA (253 nucleotides) under uncultured bacterium. RNAcentral describes it as "partial 16S ribosomal RNA". It matches the Rfam family "Bacterial small subunit ribosomal RNA", at positions 524 to 776 of the family's 1533-position model. The record is from RNAcentral.